GCAUAUCAAUAAGCGGAGGAAAAGAAACCAACAGGGAUUGCCUCAGUAACGGCGAGUGAAGCGGCAAAAGCUCAAAUUUGAAAUCUGGCCCUUUCAGGGUCCGAGUUGUAAUUUGCAGAGGAUGCUUCGGGAGCGGCGGCGGUCUAAGUCCCCUGGAACGGGGCGUCGUAGAGGGUGAGAAUCCCGUCUUGGACCGCAUGCCCGUGACCGUGUGAAGCUCCUUCGACGAGUCGAGUUGUUUGGGAAUGCAGCUCAAAAUGGGUGGUAAAUUUCAUCUAAAGCUAAAUACUGGCUG
This 295-nucleotide ribosomal RNA is filed under the name Gymnoascus sp. IFM 59328. RNAcentral describes it as "partial large subunit ribosomal RNA". It matches the Rfam family "Eukaryotic large subunit ribosomal RNA", at positions 38 to 329 of the family's 3401-position model. Lineage: Eukaryota; Fungi; Ascomycota; Eurotiomycetes; Onygenales; Gymnoascaceae. The record is from RNAcentral.